RNAcentral lists this long non-coding RNA (1065 nucleotides) under Olea europaea subsp. europaea. The record is from RNAcentral. Lineage: Eukaryota; Viridiplantae; Streptophyta; Magnoliopsida; Lamiales; Oleaceae.
UAUGGAAGAAUUAAAAACUGAAAGUCUUAAUAAGAGAAUGUAAAAUAUCCCAAUUGGUUACAUUAUUCCCCCUAACAAUGAAUUUAGCUACUCAUAAUACAAGAAGAAAAGUAGAAAAUUGUCUUAGAAUACAUCAACAAGUUUGUAAUAAAGAUGUUGAAGAAAAAGUAGAAUUCUUGCACCAAGAUCUCUUUCCGCUUUCAAUGAAUGCUUCUAAUCUCAAAUUGCUUGGUGUUAAUCUUCUUGAAUUUCUCUUUUGAAUCUCCCUUCUUGUUGUCUUCUCUCCAAUCUGUCAAGAACCCUUCAAAAGUAUGAGAAAGAUGUAUUUAUAUGUACCCCUCCAUUUUAUCUAGAAGUAGGAUUUUUAUGGAUUUAAAAAUGGCCCAAAAACGCUCCCUAGAUAUUCAAUCGCAGCGCCUAGGUGCUGAUGAUAGCGUUUGGGACUCCUGGGCGCUACCUCUCGGGUCCAAAUUUCAUCUUUUUUUUCAGUUUCGUAGUGCCUAAGCACCGUCUUUCUGCCCCAAUUCCAUGUUUUUGGCCUCUUCGUCCAGUUUAACACCUAUUUUCAUAUCCCUUCUCCUAAUCUUCAAAACAACACUAACAAACACAUAAAAAACGUUCAAUACUCACAUGAUCUAGCAUUUAAUCAUGCUAAAAUUGUACAAAUAUCAUGAGUGAAACAAACUCAUCAACUAACAUGUCUCAAAGAUUGAGAAUGAAAAUAUCAAAUUCCUUUCAAUUAACAAUUGGAAGAAUACUUUUCAAUAUUGGUAUGAUAGUUGACCCUUUUUAGCAAGGAGUUACUGGAUUCUUAUGGCAAUAAUUAAACGAAAUGAGGUAAUCCCCUGUUUUAUUUGAUUAAACUAGUUGCUUUCAACAAGAUUAUUAGAAUCUUCAAUUACAUCAAUCUAAACAUGUUUUACAAAUGCUUCAACUGGAAACAAUAUUCAGUUAUUUGCUAUUGGUUUCGACAAGAGAGUAGCCGCUAUGAAUAAGUGAGAUAAGGGACUAACCGAAUGUGUUUGAACAAUGAUUGGUAGAAUCUAGUCUAGAUAAAAUAGCCCA